UCUUUGGCAUUCUGUCCACCUCCUUCUAUACAUAUCUGCAUGUGUGUGGAAGAAGGAGGUGGGUAUACUGCCAAUAGA
Molecule: microRNA precursor, 78 nt
Filed under: Camelina sativa (false flax)
Lineage: Eukaryota; Viridiplantae; Streptophyta; Magnoliopsida; Brassicales; Brassicaceae
Description: miR394 stem-loop (cas-MIR394)
Gene: cas-MIR394
Source: miRBase by way of RNAcentral